CCCCCAAAACAACAGGAUCGCAUCCAGGUUACAGUAUUGAAAUUAGAAUCUACCACUAUUAUUACACAACAUCUCUUACCAAAUCAGAUCAUCUUCGAUAAGAAGAAUCACUGUCCACUAUUCCAGCUAUGACUUACACUUGAAUCCCUAUAGCACAGCUCUAGCUUGCACCAACCUCAUCAACUUUCCUGAACACUCCUCGACCACUGGAUCCUCAACUCUGUCUCCUCGCCUAGCAUUAGCCUUAUUCACAAUCUCAAUCAAUCAUCUCAUCUUUAAGCCUUUCUGAAAUGGUUAGAAAGGAAUAGCAAGGGUGAGCAACAAUGCUCAGCAAGUAAUAAUAAACAAUGAUAGUUCUGAAAUGAUAUAACAGAAGUUCACGAGUUCAAGAUAUAAGAGGAUUCAACCUGAGUUCAUGAGUUCAUGGUAUUGUAUAGAAUGAUUUACAAUACCUUGCAGCAUUUAAACUGAGAAAUUCAAUCUUUCCAAAGAAUUAUUGAAUUGGACUAUCACAUUUUAAUUAAAACCAAGGUUAGGCAGCUGAUCAGUUCCGCACUAACCCCGAGCAGGCCCCGCCAUGCUCUAUCACUGGAUCCAAGGCACUCAUUGGCCUAACAUGACCACGAAUCUGGUCCACAGGUUUAUAUAAAAACAAUAAUCCAAUUCUCUAAUUCAAUUCAAGAAACCAAUGUAAAUCAACAGAACAUCAUCAUAAAUAUUAUCAACAACUGAAUAAUUCCAAAUCAACUUUUAAGAAUCAUCUUUUUAUAAAUCAAAAUUCAAGAAGUUCUUAACUAUUCAGUAUCCUCCAUCAUCGGCUAAGUUAACUAGCCUGAUAAUGGUGGGUUGAAUAAUCAAGAAGAUCCCAAUUCAUUCAAAGCUCUAACUAUCACUGAGCAACACAUGCUUCAAUGACAAUCUGAACUUCGAAUUAAUUAGUAACACGGAAAUUCUUUAGAAACUUGAAGAAUAGAAAGAAUAGAUCCGAACACAUGCACUUUUA
This 1003-nucleotide long non-coding RNA is filed under the name Daucus carota (carrot). Its description in RNAcentral is "long non-coding RNA (DCAR_LNC006158)". The record is from RNAcentral. Lineage: Eukaryota; Viridiplantae; Streptophyta; Magnoliopsida; Apiales; Apiaceae.